CAGAAAGUAUUAACCACUUUAAAAAUUCUUUAAUAAAAAUACGCACGGGUUAAAAUGUACAAUCAUUUAAUGACACGCAAUUUUUUACCAGAUUUGAUGCCUUACAAUUGACUCCUCGCCAGCUGAUCUCCGCACUGUUGGUGGCAUGCUUUUCGCGAUGUCAGCAAAUAAUUUAUAUUCGUUCGCCCUAACUAACCGACUAAUCUGCAUCGUCGACCAAAGCCCCGAAGCGCAAAUAGCAUACAAAUGAGUGAUUGAGGUGAAGGCAAAGAGAAAGAUUAUGUUAUCAAAUGUCAACAUACAACAGUCAAAGUUGAGACAGAAAAAGUCGCCAAAAGGAAAGAGAGUGAGAGAAAUGUCUGAAGCAACAGCAGCUUAAUCAAUUCAAUUGUAAGGAGCACAGCUGUCACUAAAUUGGCUGAGUUCGAUUUUGUUAUUACACAAGGCGCACAGAGUACAAGUUUAUUACAAAUUUGGUUUUAAAUUGAAAUAUUUUUACCCAUAGUAUACAGUAGGAAAA
Bactrocera neohumeralis is the source of this 520-nucleotide long non-coding RNA. RefSeq lists it as uncharacterized. NCBI's taxonomy places the organism in Eukaryota, Metazoa, Arthropoda, Insecta, Diptera, Tephritidae. The transcript is spliced from 3 exons. The record is from RefSeq and is a predicted model, not a curated record.